RNAcentral lists this long non-coding RNA (3414 nucleotides) under Canis lupus familiaris (dog). Its description in RNAcentral is "lncRNA (ENSCAFG00040000529.1)". The record is from RNAcentral. Lineage: Eukaryota; Metazoa; Chordata; Mammalia; Carnivora; Canidae.
AUGAAUUUUACCUACACGUCUGGCUCCUGUUCAGAUGUUUUAGAUUUCUUAGUCAACUUUAUUUGCUUGUGUUUCUUUAAAAAAUGGUGUUUGCUCAUGUUAAAACAGGGAACUAAGCUGUAUGUAGAAAAUAAUGAUUUACCUUCUGAAACUGCAAUACGCACAAAUGGAGCAAGAAGAAUACAGGUACAGUGCCUGGCUACCCUAGUUCCUCAGCUCACACUGCAAUUGAACUUGAGGUUUGGAUUGAAAAGUGAAGUUCUGUAAGAAGGGGAACUUACAAGGAAAUUUUACAUGAAGACCUACUGAUAUUUCAGAGGCUCUGAAAUAAAUCUCCUGUGAAGUAAGUUUCUAAAAUUUCAUGUCUUUCUUUCCUUCAUCACUCAGCCUUGAAGUUGGAAAACCAUAUUUUAUAUUAAUAGUCCUACAGAAUGUCAGAAGUUUGUGUCAAUAGUAGUCCACAUCACCUUAAUUCUCCUGACCUUUUUCAAAUAUGUUUUGCAUGAAGAGAUGAGUUCCAACUGUAUAUUUUUUAUCAGCUGUCAACUUUCCAUUGACCAAUGGUUCAUUUUCUCAUUUAAUAAAUCACUCCACUCUGCUACACAGUGGGAAACUUCCUGGUACACUUCCAGCAUAACUGAAAAUAGUUUGAUGUUCUCAGAUUCUCCCUGAAUAUUUGAAUGAAAAUAUUAGAGAACCUGCAAAGUCUUUGUAUACUGAACAUGGGAUCAUCAUACACAGCUUGCUAGCUUGCCAGAGAGCCAAAUAGAAGCAAACUGCAGCUGAAGGAAAAGUAUUCUGCUGGCCAGAGGGAAAGAUGAGCACAUCUGAGUCACACAUUCCAGUCCAAAAACAAAGCUUGGCUAUAUAUGUAUGCAUGUACAUACAUACCAUAGCAUAUCAAUAAUAAGCUAUUCAUAAAAUUCCAAAAGCUUUUUUUCUUAAUUUUCUCCCUCUGGAAUAGAGUAUAUAACCAUACUAGAUGUUCUAUUGUCUUGGAGCCCUUAUUUGUUUUACCUCCAUUUUCUAAAGUAAUAUUUAAUCCACCAGGUAUAGUGAGAAGGGUUGAUAAAAGCACAGAGUGAAAUAAGAUCUUAAGCCAAGAAGAGGUGAAUAAUAAACAAAUAGCUAAUUUAAAAGACUUCUCAAAUAGCUUCCCUUAGAUGAACAAACAAAUCUAGUCUAGCAGGCCUAUCAUGCUAAUGCUGUACAUUUUUGGCUCUUUGGCUAUAAUCCUUGUAGCAGAAAUUUGUCCUAACACUAAUUUUAGGAAUAAUAUCCAAACAAAUAAUCUUUGAAACAAAACCUUUAUUGAGCACUUAAUCCAUUCUAGGCACUGUUCUAAGUGCUUAACACAUGUCUAAUUGCAAUGAUCAUAACAAAGAGAAAGAUGUUAAAUAAGCCUGCUAAAAGUCACACAACCAGAAAGUGGCAGAGCUGGAAUUGAAAACCCCUCUGCCUGACUACAAAGGCCCAUGGUCCUAAACAUUAUCUAAUUCUGCCUUCAUUCUUGGUGUUCAAUGAGUAAUAACACAAGCUAUUUGCUCUAUAGCCUUAAAUAGUGAGAGGAUACAAUAGGAAAGAGUAAAAUUAUAAUAACAUCAUCCUACUACUCUGUUUUAUGGUAAAGCAAAUCAGUCAUCCCAAGAGAGAAAAAUCAUAUCUUUAUAUAUGUAUACAUAAUUUCAUUGUGAACCUACAAAAAGUCUCAAUUUUUAUCAAUAUACUCAUCCAAAGACUGAGUUGAGUGCACUGUACCUUCUUAGAGCUCUAUCCAGGAAAGGAUAAGAAAGCUUAUAUGUUUUUCCCCCCUAAAUGGCAAAAAGCCCAGACUUUUUUGUUAUCGUUCCACGGUAAACAUUUGUCUCUCCAGUCACCCAGAUUCAUGAUUCAUUUGUUAGGGGCUUAGUGGGCACAUUUUGGCCAGCAGCCUGCCAUGUGCCCAUGUCAGGCCUUGAGUGAGUUCUGUUCGCAGGAAGUCUCCUUUUGACCAUACAAGAGCAUGUGCAUGGAUUUCUAACCAGAAGCAGCUUAGCAAUAAGAUAGGUAUGCAGCACAGGAAAGGCUUAGGGAGGUACCUCGCCCAUGAAUUACCACAGCAGCCACACUUAGCAAUGAGCUUUGUUGGCUGUAAACCACAGUCGCAGAGCAGGAGCACUGAGGAUACACUGUUUAAUUGUGCCUCUCUACACGUUGGAUAGGACAGAGCUGUGACUGCUUUAAGAUCGCCUCCCGAGAACAUACACGAAGCAAGUCCAGAACUGCUGUGCCACAUGACAACUGUGUGUUCACUUUGUUUUAUCCUGAUUCAUAAUGGCCUUUUGAGUCAUACAACCUCACUAUUUAAAAUUCAUCAACACAGAAUCUAAAAAUCUGCAUAAAAUAUUCACAGUGCUUUCCUCCCACCCUGUCUUCAUGUACUUGUGGGCACUCAAGCUCCUGCUUCCAAGGGAGCCUCUCUACAGAACCACAACCAUAUGAAACUGGAAACUAGCUGAGAACAUAAAUGUAGGGAAAGUGGAGGCUAUAACAAAGUGGAGGAUCCUUUAAAGCCAUCUCUUCUCUUUUACUCUCUAUAUUUCUUAUUCCACUUAUUCUUAUAAUGAAUAAUAAUUGAGUGUCUUCUAUGUGCAAGGCACUGCAGUAGGGACAAAGGGGAGGGAGAACAUUUUGAGGCACAGAGUACUUUGGGAGGUAGGCUGCUGUUGGGUAGUGUGCCAACAAGCAUAGUUUGAAAAAGCAAAUAAGCACAACAUAUUUAAAAAACUGAGCAGCAAGCAAUAUUCAGGUGAAGAGGAACAAUAUAAAGUCAAAGAUUCCCAACAUAUAUUGCCUGUGUCAAAAUUUUAUCCAUAGCUAACCUAUAGACAGGAAAGAAGUAAAAGUGUGUUCUCUGCCUCCUUCCUCCCUGAACUCAGCUCUGUCUCAAAUAUAAUAACCACAGUUCAACUUAAUUAUACAUUCAAUGAGUUUCAGGUGGGGAGAGGCUAUAAUUAAAAAUAUUUUUCUGUGAGAAAUUAUGUUUAAGAGCCAAACCAUUUACAAGCAAAUUUGGGGGGUUAUGUGUACCUACAUGGAAUCAUGUUUUUUCCCCUUUUACAGGGGAAAAAAUGUGUCAGGACCUAAUGUGUCAUAUAUUUGUAACUACAUAACUAUUUAGAGUUUAACUACCUAUAUAAAUGCAAGCUGAAUAUGUAGUAAAAUUUCUUUCUUCACAGUAAAGGUUCAAGAUAUAUUUAUGGCUAAUAUCUUUCCACCUAUAAUAGACAAAAAAUGAGUUUUUUGGGCAGGAGGGGAUUCUAAGUAUGAGAUUUGUAUCCCAACUAUUCACUAAUAACAUAUUAAUUAUACACUUAAGGUGUUUUCCUCUUGAGUUGAAAUUUGUAGUAGAAUUCUUUUCAAACCUUAAAAAUU